This 397-nucleotide transfer-messenger RNA is filed under the name human gut metagenome. It matches the Rfam family "transfer-messenger RNA". Rfam says of the family: Bacterial tmRNA, also known as 10Sa RNA or SsrA, is named for its dual tRNA and mRNA-like properties. The record is from RNAcentral.
GGGGAUGUUCUGGUUUUGACAGCAUUGAUUUUGGUCGGUAAGCACGUCGGGCGUAGGAGGCUGGCCCGUUAAUCCCAGUCUUCAAGCCAUAACUGGCAACUACAACUACUCAUACGCUUGCUAGUCCCCAAGAGACUGAGCAUCAAUCGGCGCCGCCAAGGUUGCGGCUCUGACGUAUAUCCCUCCAGCUUUAGGCCGGUUCAGUCUGGGUAAAGGGGUAUCAUCAAAACCGGAUGCGGGAGAUGGACGCCUCUAAGUCUCCUCAAGUUUCCAGAGGAUAAGCCGCGGCUGGCCCGUCUUCCGGCAGGCCACGGUCGAAAACCAAAGGAGGAAUAAGCGUGUAGAAAGCCCAUCGGGACGAUGUUUGGACGGCGGUUCGACUCCGCCCAUCUCCACU